CUUUUAACAACGGAUCUCUUGGUUCUCGCAUCGAUGAAGAACGUAGCAAAGUGCGAUAACUAGUGUGAAUUGCAUAUUCAGUGAAUCAUCGAGUCUUUGAACGCAUCUUGCGCUCAUUGGUAUUCCAAUGAGCACGCCUGUUUCAGUAUCAG
Molecule: ribosomal RNA, 152 nt
Filed under: Pirella circinans
Lineage: Eukaryota; Fungi; Mucoromycota; Mucoromycetes; Mucorales; Mucoraceae
Also listed under: 2 other names
Description: 5.8S ribosomal RNA
Rfam family: 5.8S ribosomal RNA
About the family: 5.8S ribosomal RNA (5.8S rRNA) is a component of the large subunit of the eukaryotic ribosome. It is transcribed by RNA polymerase I as part of the 45S precursor that also contains 18S and 28S rRNA. Functionally, it is thought that 5.8S rRNA may be involved in ribosome translocation.
Source: RNAcentral